UUGAUGACCCCUGUGGCGAAGGCGUNUACCAGAACACGUUCGACGGUGAGGGAUGAAAGCUGGGGAGCAAACCGGAUUAGAUACCCGGGUAGUCCCAGCUGUAAACGAUGCAGACUCGAUGAUGCAUUGGCAUAAUAGCCAGUGCAGUGUCGCAGGGAAGCCGUUAAGUCUGCCGCCUGGGAAGUACGUACGCAAGUAUGAAACUUAAAGGAAUUGGCGGGGGAGCACCACAAGGGGUGAAGCCUGCGGUUCAAUUGGAGUCAACGCCAGAAAUCUUACCCGGAGAGACAGCAGAAUGAAGGUCAAGCUGAAGACUUUACCAGACAAGCUGAGAGGUGGUGCAUGGCCGUCGCCAGCUCGUGCCGUGAGAUGUCCUGUUAAGUCAGGUAACGAGCGAGAUCCCUGCCACUAGUUGCUAUCAUUAUUCUCAGGAAUAGUGGGGCGAAUUAGUGGGACUGCCGUUGUUAAAACGGAGGAAGGAAGGGGCUACGGCAGGUCAGUAUGCCCCGAAACUCUGGGGCCACACGCGGGCUGCAAUGGUAGUGACAAUGAGUUCCAAACUCGAAAGAGAGUGGCAAUCUCUAAACGCUACCACAGUUAUGACUGAGGGCUGUAACUCGCCCUCACGAAUAUGGAAUCCCUAGUAACCGCGUGUCAUUACCGCGCGGUGAAUACGUCCCUGCUCC
This 686-nucleotide ribosomal RNA is filed under the name uncultured archaeon. RNAcentral's name for it is "bacterial SSU rRNA". It matches the Rfam family "Archaeal small subunit ribosomal RNA", at positions 650 to 1336 of the family's 1478-position model. The record is from RNAcentral.